CGGGAGAGCUAGCGGAGUAGCCACUUACUCCGCCCCAGCGGCCGGGCUCCUGAGCUGCGCGCACGGGGCUCCCCAGGCCCGACAGAAACCCAUUCCGCCACUGAGCAUGCCCAGUGUGACUGUGACCGGGACUCUUCUCACCACCCUGGCCUCAAACUUAGAUGUGAGACCAGACCGGGGGCAGGGAGCGAGUGGGAGAGGGUAGAAUCUCCACACUUCUCCAGAGGGGACGCAAGACGUGGCUCCUGCCUGGGUGACAGUGGGUUAGGGAGGGAGACUGGUGUUGGAAGUUUGUACUUUACACAAAGGAAGAUCAGAUUCUACGCAGUCAAAAUUUCACUAAGUGACCAAGUGGAAACGCGCCGAAACAAAGGAGCUGGAUUCUGAGCUUUCCUUUGAGCUCCAAUAGGAUUUAAAGAGGAAGAAAAUGACUCUGGAAUUCCGGCUGUUUGGAGGACUGAAACUCGUUUUACUUAAUUUGUUUCAAACAGCAUUCGUCCACUCUUCUUUUCAAUUAUUGGCACAAGAAAUUUGUUUCCUGAGGAAAGGCUAGAAAAGUCCCUUAUUUGAAAAAUUUAAACUUCCACAAAAGGGUGAGUGUUU
RNAcentral lists this long non-coding RNA (603 nucleotides) under Sus scrofa (pig). Its description in RNAcentral is "lncRNA (ENSSSCG00030003312.1)". Lineage: Eukaryota; Metazoa; Chordata; Mammalia; Artiodactyla; Suidae. The record is from RNAcentral.